UGGGGAAUAUUGGGCAAUGGGCGAAAGCCUGACCCAGCGACGCCGCGUGAGGGACGAAGGCCUUCGGGUUGUAAACCUCUUUCAGUAGGGAAGAAGCGAAAGUGACGGUACCUACAGAAGAAGCACCGGCUAACUACGUGCCAGCAGCCGCGGUAAUACGUAGGGUGCAAGCGUUGUCCGGAAUUAUUGGGCGUAAAGAGCUCGUAGGUGGUUCGAUACGUCGGAUGUGAAAAUCAGGGGCUCAACCCCUGACCUGCAUCCGAUACGGUCGAGCUAGAGUUUGGUAGGGGAGACUGGAAUUCCGCGUGUAGCAGUGAAAUGCGUAGAUAUGCGGAGGAACACCGAUGGCGAAGGCAGCCCCCUGGGAUGAUACUGACGCUCAUGCACGAAAGCGUGGGGAGCAAACAGG
Molecule: ribosomal RNA, 409 nt
Filed under: uncultured bacterium
Lineage: Bacteria
Description: bacterial SSU rRNA
Rfam family: Bacterial small subunit ribosomal RNA
Source: RNAcentral